Molecule: RNase P RNA, 368 nt
Filed under: Thermus tengchongensis
Lineage: Bacteria; Thermotogati; Deinococcota; Deinococci; Thermales; Thermaceae
Description: RNase P RNA component class A
Rfam family: Bacterial RNase P class A
About the family: Ribonuclease P (RNase P) is a ubiquitous endoribonuclease, found in archaea, bacteria and eukarya as well as chloroplasts and mitochondria. Its best characterised activity is the generation of mature 5'-ends of tRNAs by cleaving the 5'-leader elements of precursor-tRNAs.
Source: RNAcentral
UGGGACGGGGGCGCGGUCGCGCCCGGGGGACGAUCCCCUCGGGUGAGGAAAGUCCGGGCACCAUAGGGCAGGGUGCCAGCUAACGGCUGGGCGGGGUAACCCGACGGAAAGUGCCACAGAGAAGAGACCGCCAGCGGCCAGGCCAGGGCCUGGUGCGGGCAAGGGUGAAACGGUGGGGUAAGAGCCCACCGCGCUCCCUGGAAACAGGGGCGGCACGGCAAACCCCACCCGGUGCAAGGCCCAGUAGGCAGGGAGGGCUUGCCCGGCCCGCCACAACCUGCGGGAUGGGCCGCUUGAGGCCGGUGGCGACACCGGUCCCAGAGAGAUGACCGCGGAAACAGAACCCGGCUUACGCCCCGUCCCGGGGC